RNAcentral lists this ribosomal RNA (407 nucleotides) under uncultured bacterium. RNAcentral describes it as "partial 16S ribosomal RNA". It matches the Rfam family "Bacterial small subunit ribosomal RNA", at positions 30 to 526 of the family's 1533-position model. The record is from RNAcentral.
AUUGAACGCUGGCGGCAGGCCUAACACAUGCAAGUCGAACGGAGCGGGGGACGGGUGAGUGAGUCCUAUGUAUCUGACUGGUCGUGGGGGAUGGCGUACGGAUACGGGAGCUAGUACAGCCUCCUUUCCGAUGAGUCUAGGUCGGUGUAGCUAGUUGGUAGGUGAAAGGCCCACCAAGGCGACGAUCCGUAACUGGUCUGAGAGGAUGAUCAGUCACACUGGAACUGAGACACGGUCCAGACUCCUACGGGAGGCAGCAGUGGGGAAUAUUGCACAAUGGGCGCAAGCCGGAUGCAGCCAUGCCGCGUGUGUGAAGAAGGUCUUCGGAUUGUAAAGUACUUUAAGCUGGGAGGCGUUACCCACAGAAUAAGCACCGGCUAACUUCGUGCCAGCAGCCGCGGUAAUUC